This 343-nucleotide ribosomal RNA is filed under the name Paleoplatyura johnsoni. Its description in RNAcentral is "partial 16S ribosomal RNA". Lineage: Eukaryota; Metazoa; Arthropoda; Insecta; Diptera; Keroplatidae. The record is from RNAcentral.
UUUUUUAAUUGAAAGCUUGUAUGAAUGGUUGAAUGAGAUAUUAGCUGUAUUAUAAAUAAUUAAUUAAAAUUUUAUUUUUUAGUAAAAAAGCUAAAAUAUUUUUGAGGGACGAGAAGACCCUAUAGAGUUUUAUAUAUUAAUUUAAUUAUUAUUUAUAAAAUUAAGAUUUAAUUUUAAUUAUUAAUAUAUUUUAUUGGGGUGAUAAAAAAAUUUAUAUAACUUUUUUUUAUAAAUAACAUUAUUUUUUGAAUAAUUGAUCCAUUAUUAAUGAUUAUAAGAUUAAAUUACCUUAGGGAUAACAGCGUAAUUUUUUUUAAAAGUUCAUAUUAAUAAAAAAGAUUAC